Molecule: RNase P RNA, 353 nt
Filed under: marine eukaryotic metagenome
Description: Bacterial RNase P class A
Rfam family: Bacterial RNase P class A
About the family: Ribonuclease P (RNase P) is a ubiquitous endoribonuclease, found in archaea, bacteria and eukarya as well as chloroplasts and mitochondria. Its best characterised activity is the generation of mature 5'-ends of tRNAs by cleaving the 5'-leader elements of precursor-tRNAs.
Source: RNAcentral
GCCGGUUGGAUGACCGCUGGCCGCUUUGGCGGCGAGAGGAAAGUCCGGGCUUCAAGAAAACAUGGUGCCGGGUAACCCCCGGGCGGCGCAAGCCGAUGGAAAGUGCAGCAGAGAGCAGACCGCCUGCCUUCGGGCCGGCAAGGGUGAAAGGGUGCGGUAAGAGCGCACCGCGGAGCUGGCAACAGUCUCCGGCAUGGUAAACCCCGCCAGAAGCAAGACCAAAUAGGGACUACGUAUGCGGCGUUUUCUCCGUGUAGUCCGGGUAGGUCGCACGAGGCCUUGAGCAAUCAAGGCCCUAGAUGAAUGGUCAUCACCCCUUACGGGGUACAGAACCCGGCUUAUAGACCGGCCUG